This 253-nucleotide ribosomal RNA is filed under the name uncultured bacterium. RNAcentral's name for it is "partial 16S ribosomal RNA". It matches the Rfam family "Bacterial small subunit ribosomal RNA", at positions 524 to 776 of the family's 1533-position model. The record is from RNAcentral.
UACGUAGGGUGCAAGCGUUAAUCGGAAUUACUGGGCGUAAAGCGUGCGCAGGCGGUGAUGUAAGACAGUUGUGAAAUCCCCGGGCUCAACCUGGGAACUGCAUCUGUGACUGCAUCGCUGGAGUACGGUAGAGGGGGAUGGAAUUCCGCGUGUAGCAGUGAAAUGCGUAGAUAUGCGGAGGAACACCGAUGGCGAAGGCACUCCCCUGGGCCUGCACUGACGCUCAUGCACGAAAGCGUGGGGAGCAAACAGG